RNAcentral lists this ribosomal RNA (479 nucleotides) under uncultured bacterium. RNAcentral describes it as "SSU rRNA". It matches the Rfam family "Bacterial small subunit ribosomal RNA", at positions 26 to 518 of the family's 1533-position model. The record is from RNAcentral.
AGGACGAACGCUGGCGGCGUGCUUAACACAUGCAAGUCACGGGGGCCCGCAAGGGUAACCGGCGAACGGGUGCGUAACACGUGAGCAACCUGCCUAGAUGUGGGGGAUAGCCGGCCCAACGGCCGGGUAAUACCGCAUACGGUCACGAGGAGGAGUCUCCUUGUGAAGAAACCUCCGGGGCAUUUAGAGGGGCUCGCGGCCUAUCAGCUAGUUGGCGGGGUAAUGGCCCACCAAGGCUUCGACGGGUAGCUGGUCUGAGAGGAUGGCCAGCCACAUUGGGACUGAGAGACGGCCCAGACUCCUACGGGAGGCAGCAGUGGGAAUCUUGCGCAAUGGCCGAAAGGCUGACGCAGCGACGCCGCGUGUGGGAGGACGCCCUUCGGGGUGUAAACCACUGUUGCCCGGGACGAACAUCCACUUUCGAGUGGACUGACGGUACCGGGUGAGGAAGCACCGGCUAACUCCGUGCCAGCAGCCGC